Molecule: ribosomal RNA, 1432 nt
Filed under: uncultured organism
Description: 16S ribosomal RNA
Rfam family: Bacterial small subunit ribosomal RNA
Source: RNAcentral
GCUAGCUACAGGCUUAACACAUGCAAGUCGAGGGGCAGCAUGGUCUUAGCUUGCUAAGGCCGAUGGCGACCGGCGCACGGGUGAGUAACACGUAUCCAACCUGCCGUCUACUCUUGGACAGCCUUCUGGAAGGAAGAUUAAUACAAGAUGGCAUCAUGAGUCCGCAUGUUCACAUGAUUAAAGGUAUUCCGGUAGACGAUGGGGAUGCGUUCCAUUAGAUAGUAGGCGGGGUAACGGCCCACCUAGUCUUCGAUGGAUAGGGGUUCUGAGAGGAAGGUCCCCCACAUUGGAACUGAGACACGGUCCAAACUCCUACGGGAGGCAGCAGUGAGGAAUAUUGGUCAAUGGGCGAGAGCCUGAACCAGCCAAGUAGCGUGAAGGAUGACUGCCCUAUGGGUUGUAAACUUCUUUUAUAAAGGAAUAAAGUCGGGUAUGGAUACCCGUUUGCAUGUACUUUAUGAAUAAGGAUCGGCUAACUCCGUGCCAGCAGCCGCGGUAAUACGGAGGAUCCGAGCGUUAUCCGGAUUUAUUGGGUUUAAAGGGAGCGUAGAUGGAUGUUUAAGUCAGUUGUGAAAGUUUGCGGCUCAACCGUAAAAUUGCAGUUGAUACUGGAUAUCUUGAGUGCAGUUGAGGCAGGCGGAAUUCGUGGUGUAGCGGUGAAAUGCUUAGAUAUCACGAAGAACUCCGAUUGCGAAGGCAGCCUGCUAAGCUGCAACUGACAUUGAGGCUCGAAAGUGUGGGUAUCAAACAGGAUUAGAUACCCUGGUAGUCCACACGGUAAACGAUGAAUACUCGCUGUUUGCGAUAUACUGCAAGCGGCCAAGCGAAAGCGUUAAGUAUUCCACCUGGGGAGUACGCCGGCAACGGUGAAACUCAAAGGAAUUGACGGGGGCCCGCACAAGCGGAGGAACAUGUGGUUUAAUUCGAUGAUACGCGAGGAACCUUACCCGGGCUUAAAUUGCAGAUGAAUUACGGUGAAAGCCGUAAGCCGCAAGGCAUCUGUGAAGGUGCUGCAUGGUUGUCGUCAGCUCGUGCCGUGAGGUGUCGGCUUAAGUGCCAUAACGAGCGCAACCCUUGUUGUCAGUUACUAACAGGUUCCGCUGAGGACUCUGACAAGACUGCCAUCGUAAGAUGUGAGGAAGGUGGGGAUGACGUCAAAUCAGCACGGCCCUUACGUCCGGGGCUACACACGUGUUACAAUGGGGGGUACAGAGGGCCGCUACCACGCGAGUGGAUGCCAAUCCCCAAAACCUCUCUCAGUUCGGACUGGAGUCUGCAACCCGACUCCACGAAGCUGGAUUCGCUAGUAAUCGCGCAUCAGCCACGGCGCGGUGAAUACGUUCCCGGGCCUUGUACACACCGCCCGUCAAGCCAUGGGAGCCGGGGGUACCUGAAGUGCGUAACCGCGAGGAGCGCCCUAGGGUAAAACUGG